AAACAUUGUUUCUUGUGUUUAAAUGGGAAAUAUUGUCUGCCCACUGAGGUUUUAAAGGGCUGCGGUAUUACUGACCGUACAAAGGUAGCAUAAUAAAUAGUUCUUUGAUUGGGAGCUGGAAUGAAGGGCUUUAUGAAAAAUCAACUGUCUUAGUUGUAAUAUUAAAAUUUAAUGUUUAGGUAAGAAAGCCUAAGUUAAUUAGUGGGACGAGAAGACCCUAUAGAAUUUUAUUUUGUUAUUUGGGUUAGUUGAAUUGUAUAUAAUUAUGUUUAUGAAAUUUGAUUGGGGUGAUUGGAAAAUAUUUAACUUUUUUUGUAUCUGAUUAUAAAUAGAUAUUGGUUUGAUCCAUGAUUGAGUGAUUAUAAGAUAAAUUACCUUAGGGAUAACAGCGUUAUUUAUUCGGAUAGAUCAAAUAGAUGAAUAAGAUUGCGACCUC
This 436-nucleotide ribosomal RNA is filed under the name Nocticola cockingi. RNAcentral's name for it is "partial large subunit ribosomal RNA". It matches the Rfam family "Archaeal large subunit ribosomal RNA", at positions 1903 to 2596 of the family's 2987-position model. The record is from RNAcentral. Lineage: Eukaryota; Metazoa; Arthropoda; Insecta; Blattodea; Nocticolidae.